GACGAACGCUGGCGGCGUGCCUAAUACAUGCAAGUUGAGCGCUGAAGGUUGGUACUUGUACCAACUGGAUGAGCAGCGAACGGGUGAGUAACGCGUGGGGAAUCUGCCUUUGAGCGGGGGACAACAUUUGGAAACGAAUGCUAAUACCGCAUAAAAACUUUAAACACAAGUUUUAAGUUUGAAAGAUGCAAUUGCAUCACUCAAAGAUGAUCCCGCGUUGUAUUAGCUAGUUGGUGAGGUAAAAGCUCACCAAGGCGAUGAUACAUAGCCGACCUGAGAGGGUGAUCGGCCACAUUGGGACUGAGACACGGCCCAAACUCCUACGGGAGGCAGCAGUAGGGAAUCUUCGGCAAUGGACGAAAGUCUGACCGAGCAACGCCGCGUGAGUGAAGAAGGUUUUCGGAUCGUAAAACUCUGUUGGUAGAGAAGAACGUUGGUGAGAGUGGAAAGCUCAUCAAGUGACGGUAACUACCCAGAAAGGGACGGCUAACUACGUG
This 497-nucleotide ribosomal RNA is filed under the name uncultured bacterium. Its description in RNAcentral is "partial 16S ribosomal RNA". It matches the Rfam family "Bacterial small subunit ribosomal RNA", at positions 28 to 507 of the family's 1533-position model. The record is from RNAcentral.